GAUGAACGCUGGCGGCGUGCUUAACACAUGCAAGUCGAACGGAAAGGCUCCUGCUUUCAGGGGUACUCGAGUGGCGAACGGGUGAGUAACACGUGGGUGAUCUGCCCUGCACUUCGGGAUAAGCCUGGGAAACUGGGUCUAAUACCGGAUAGGACGAUGGUUUGGAUGCAAUUGUGGAAAGUUUUUCGGUGUGGGGUGAGCUGGCGGCCUAUCAGCUUGUUGGGGGGGUAAUGGCCUACCAAGGCGUCGUCGGGUAGCCGGCAGGGGAGGGUGUACGGCCACAUUGGGCCUGAGAUACGGCCCAGACUCCUACGGGAGGCAGAAGUGGGGAAUAUUGCACAAUGGGCGCAAGCGUGAUGCAGCGACGCCGCGUGGGGGAUGACGGCCUUCGGGUUGUAAACUCCUUUCGCUAGGGACGAAGCGCAAGUGACGGUACCUGGAGAAGAAGCACCGGCUAACUACGUG
RNAcentral lists this ribosomal RNA (465 nucleotides) under uncultured bacterium. RNAcentral describes it as "partial 16S ribosomal RNA". It matches the Rfam family "Bacterial small subunit ribosomal RNA", at positions 28 to 507 of the family's 1533-position model. The record is from RNAcentral.